This 425-nucleotide ribosomal RNA is filed under the name uncultured bacterium. RNAcentral's name for it is "bacterial SSU rRNA". It matches the Rfam family "Bacterial small subunit ribosomal RNA", at positions 354 to 796 of the family's 1533-position model. The record is from RNAcentral.
GUGGGGAAUAUUGGACAAUGGGCGCAAGCCUGAUCCAGCCAUGCCGCGUGAGUGAUGAAGGCCCUAGGGUUGUAAAGCUCUUUCACCGAUGAAGAUAAUGACGGUAGUCGGAGAAGAAGCCCCGGCUAACUUCGUGCCAGCAGCCGCGGUAAUACGAAGGGGGCUAGCGUUGUUCGGAAUUACUGGGCGUAAAGCGCACGUAGGCGGAUAUUUAAGUCAGGGGUGAAAUCCCAGAGCUCAACUCUGGAACUGCAUUUGAUACUGGGUAUCUCGAGUAUGGAAGAUGUGAGUGGAAUUCCGAGUGUAGAGGUGAAAUUCGUAGAUAUUCGGAGGAACACCAGUGGCGAAGGCGGCUCACUGGUCCAUUACUGACGCUGAGGUGCGAAAGCGUGGAGAGCAAACAGGAUUAGAUACCCUUGUAGUCC